Molecule: ribosomal RNA, 491 nt
Filed under: uncultured bacterium
Lineage: Bacteria
Description: partial 16S ribosomal RNA
Rfam family: Bacterial small subunit ribosomal RNA
Source: RNAcentral
GAUGAACGCUAGCGAUAGGCUUAACACAUGCAAGUCGAGGGGUAACGUGUUGGCAGCUUGCUUCCGAUGACGACGACCGGCGGAUGGGUGCGUAACGCGUAUGCAACUUGCCUCACAGUGGAGAAUAACCCGGAGAAAUCCGGACUAAUACUCCAUACACUCUUAAGUACGCCUGUACAUGAUAGGCAAGAUUUAUCGCUGUGAGAUAGGCAUGCGUCCUAUUAGGUAGUUGGUGAGGUAACGGCUCACCAAGCCGACGAUAGGUAGGGGUGCUGAGAAGCAGAUCCCCCACAUUGGGACUGAGACACGGCCCAAACUCCUACGGGAGGCAGCAGUGAGGAAUAUUGGUCAAUGGAGGAAACUCUGAACCAGCCAAGUCGCGUGAAGGAAGAAUGUCCUAAGGAUUGUAAACUUCUUUAGCGAGCGAGUAAGGACUUCCACGUGAUGGGAGUUUGAAAGUAGCUCGAGAAUAAGUAUCGGCUAACUCCGUG